GUACCGUGAGGGAAAGGUGAAAAGUACCCUGAAUAAGGGAGUGAAAUAGUACCUGAAACCGUACGCUUACAAGCGGUCGGAGCAGACUUGUUCUGUGACGGCGUACCUUUUGUAUAAUGGGUCAUCGACUUGGUCUAUCUAGCAAGCUUAAGCCGUUAGGUGUAGGCGCAGCGAAAGCGAGUCUUAAUAGGGCGCAUGAGUUAGAUGGAUCAGACCCGAAACCGAGUGAUCUAGGCAUGGCCAGGUUGAAGGUGCAGUAACAUGCACUGGAGGACCGAACCCACAUCUGUUGAAAAAGAUCGGGAUGAGCUGUGCCUAGGGGUGAAAGGCCAAUCAAACUUAGAGAUAGCUGGUUUUCUGCGAAAUCUAUUUAAGUAGAGCGUUUAAAAUUCUUUAUCUAAGGUAGAGCACUCGAUAAAUAAAGGGGACGUAAAGUUUUACUGCAUUUAAUGAAACUCCAAAUAUAGAAUUAAAAAGAUUUUAAACAGACAGACUGUGAGUGCUAAGAUUCAUAGUCAAAAGGGAAACAGCCCGCAUUAUUUGUUAAGGCCCUUAAAAAUAAUUAAGUGAAAAAGAAAGUAAAAAAAUUUUAACAAUCUAUAGGUAGGCUUGGAAGCAGCCACCCUUUUAAGAAAGCGUAACAGCUCACUGGUUUAGUUUUUUUGCAUCAAAAAUGUAUAGGGACUAAAAUUAUUUGCCGAAACAAUAAAUUUAAAACAAUACAAUUAAUAAUAUAAUAUUAAAAAAUUGAUUUUAAAUGGUAGCAGAACGUUUUGUAUAUUUAAGAAAGUUUAUAGUUAUAUAAACUGGAAAAAUCAAAAAUGAAAAUAUUGAUAUGAGUAGCGAAAAACAUUGUGAAUAAUAAACAUUGUCACCUUAAGUUCAAGGUUUUUAAGGGAAGGCUAAUCCUCCUUAAUGUUAAUCGGUCCCUAAGAUAAAAACGAAAGUUGUAGUUGAUGGGUAAUUUUUUUAUUAUAUUUUAACGUGACAAAAUACGAAUUUAAUUUUUAUUUGUGAUUUUAAUUAAAAGUUUUUUAGUAUUUUCAAGAAAUAGCUUAAAAUAAUACCGUACUCUAAACCGACACAGGUGAACAAAUUUAGCAAAUUAAGGUGCUUGAAUUAAUUGUAUUGAAGGAACUCGGCAAAAUGACUCCG
RNAcentral lists this ribosomal RNA (1155 nucleotides) under Skeletonema marinoi. RNAcentral describes it as "partial Bacterial large subunit ribosomal RNA". It matches the Rfam family "Bacterial large subunit ribosomal RNA", at positions 498 to 1730 of the family's 2925-position model. Lineage: Eukaryota; Bacillariophyta; Thalassiosirophyceae; Thalassiosirales; Thalassiosiraceae. The record is from RNAcentral.